GUGGUCGCGGAGACUACCUCUGUGAUCGAUGAUUUCGGGGACUUUGCUCCCACUUUGGAGCUCCGGCAGCUUAUUCCGGCUGUGGAUUACUCCGGCGGGAUCUCUACUUAUCCUCUCUUGGUUCUCCAGGUAAUUAUCUAAUUAACAUAUUGGUCCGAUUAGACUGCUUAUUCUUUCAGUAUUCAAUUUUGCAUUUAAUUAUUGGAUAAUGAGUCUGGAAGUUAAAUUCGGUGUUUAUCAUGUCCGAACCGAAAUAUUUAGGCAAAGGUAAACCAAAAACCGAAUGUGGAAAUUCAGUAACCAAAAAGUGUUUAAAUUUUCGAGUAAUUUGGUUUUGUUUCGAUCAUUAUUUCGGUUUUUUUGUAUACCAAGUAACCAUAUGAGCAAAUGUUUGUUUUAUUUUAUUUUAUUCAUACCGAACCAAAUCAAACUUUUCUUCUUGAUUAAUACAACCAUGGAUGAAUUAAUUAAUCAAUCAAGCAUUUACUUACAGUAGAGCGAUCUCUAAUUUUACUCAAUACUAAAAAAAAUUCAGGUGACAUACUUCAAGUGCGGCGGAGUCUCACUGGGAGUCGGGAUGCAACACCAUGCCGCCGACGGCUUCUCCGGCCUGCACUUCGUCAACACAUGGUCCGACAUGUCCAGAGGACUCGACCUCACCCUCCCACCAUUCAUCGACAGGACACUCCUCCGUGCUCGGGACCCGCCCCGACCCGCUUUCCAGCACAUCGAGUACCAGCCUCCUCCCUCCUUGAAAACCAUCUCCUCCUCCGCCACCGCUGCAUCCGAUUCCGACGCAGUGAAAGCCUCCGACGCCGGCGUCAAGCCUCUGAAAGCCUCCGACGCCGGCGUCACGCCGCCAGCAGCUGUGUCGAUAUUCAAGCUGACCCGGGACGAGCUCAACGCCCUGAAAGCUAAAUCGAAAGAAGCAGGAAACACCAUCAGCUACAGCUCCUAUGAAAUGCUCGCCGGCCACGUCUGGCGGUGCGCCUGCAAAGCAAGGGGACUCGCCGACGACCAAGACACAAAAUUGUACAUCGCCACCGACGGCAGGUCCCGCCUCCGCCCUCCACUCCCCGAGGGAUACUUCGGGAACGUGAUAUUCACGAC
Molecule: long non-coding RNA, 1110 nt
Filed under: Linum usitatissimum (flax)
Lineage: Eukaryota; Viridiplantae; Streptophyta; Magnoliopsida; Malpighiales; Linaceae
Description: long non-coding RNA (LUSI_LNC005216)
Source: RNAcentral